This 253-nucleotide ribosomal RNA is filed under the name uncultured bacterium. RNAcentral's name for it is "partial 16S ribosomal RNA". It matches the Rfam family "Bacterial small subunit ribosomal RNA", at positions 524 to 776 of the family's 1533-position model. The record is from RNAcentral.
UACGUAGGGGGCGAGCGUUAUCCGGAAUUACUGGGCGUAAAGCGCACGCAGGCGGUUCGCCAAGUUUGGAGUGACAGUUGUCGGCUCAACCGACAAAGGACUUCAAAAACUGGUGAACUCGAGGACGAGAGAGGAACAUGGAACUCCAGGUGUAGUAGUGAAAUGCGUAGAUAUCUGGAAGAACACCAAUGGCGAAGGCAAUGUUCUGGCUCGUUUCUGACGCUCAGGUGCGAAAGCCAGGGGAGCGAACGGG